GGCAUUUCUCCCAGAAGUGUUACAAAUAAACACCUGAACACUUUCUCCUUCAGAACCAGAAGGUUUAAAUAGAAUUCUAUUUAGGUUUUUGAAUUGUGACAUAUGUUAAUCCCAAUGAGAGUCUCUGCGUGAAAGGAAUGUUAGCAGAAUUUUAACAUGGUAUUAUGAGGAUAAUUUGCCACUUUGAGUAAAAAUGCUAUACAUUUUCUGACCUUUGGGAGUUUAAACCUAUAGGAAAGAAGUCAACAAACUAUAGUUUGAUGAUCUGAGACCAACCAUUAUGCAUUAAGAGGAGUGGGAGAGAUUAACAUACACAGUGGAUGUGUAACAAUGACGUAUGUGACAAUUCAAAUAAAUGUGCAGAAUUCUCACUCUGGUGAAGACUGACAGGAUCAUCUACUAAAUACAAAGGAGUUAAAAUUCUCAGAAAGAAAAAUGGAAUUUUUUUGGAAUUCAGCUAGAGACAUGGAUUUGGAAAGAGAAAGAAAAAAUUAGUCUUUGUUUGUUUGUAAUGGCCAGUUGAUAAGAGAAAAGUGAUCCUAGAAAUUAUAGUCCCUGCUACUCAGUCCUGGAGCCACUGAGGGAAAAAUACAACCGAAACUUUCAAUACCUAAUGAAUUUUCUCCAACUUACGUGAGUGCGUGUAUAACGGCAUUAAGAUUUACACUUGGAAUGUCCCCUUACAUAUUUAAUUCUAAUUAGUUCAAAUACGUUCACUUCAGCAAACAUUAAUUGAG
This 737-nucleotide long non-coding RNA is filed under the name Equus caballus (horse). RNAcentral describes it as "lncRNA (ENSECAG00000030235.3)". Lineage: Eukaryota; Metazoa; Chordata; Mammalia; Perissodactyla; Equidae. The record is from RNAcentral.